UACGUAGGGUGCAAGCGUUGUCCGGAAUUAUUGGGCGUAAAGAGCUCGUAGGCGGCUUGUCGCGUCGGCUGUGAAAACCCGGAGCUCAACUCCGGGCCUGCAGUCGAUACGGGCGGACUCGAGUUCGGCAGGGGAGACUGGAAUUCCUGGUGUAGCGGUGAAAUGCGCAGAUAUCAGGAGGAACAGCCGGUGGCGAAGGCGGGUCUCUGGGCCGAUACUGACGCUGAGGAGCGAAAGCGUGGGGAGCGAACAGG
This 254-nucleotide ribosomal RNA is filed under the name uncultured bacterium. RNAcentral's name for it is "partial 16S ribosomal RNA". It matches the Rfam family "Bacterial small subunit ribosomal RNA", at positions 524 to 776 of the family's 1533-position model. The record is from RNAcentral.